GAACGCACAUUGCGCCCCCUGGUAUUCCGGGGGGCACACCUGUUCGAGCGCCAUUUCUACCCUAGAGCCCUGCUCUGUGAUGGGCCCCGUCCUCGCGGACAGGCCCGAAACCCGUGGGCGCCGUCGUCCGGCCCUGAGCGUAGCAAGAGAAAUCCCUCGCUCGGAGUGUCUGUCGGUGGCCGCCUCGAAACCUAUUUUUACAAGGUUGGCCUCGGAUCAGGUGGGGAUACCCGCUGAACUUAAG
Molecule: unclassified non-coding RNA, 244 nt
Filed under: uncultured Venturia
Lineage: Eukaryota; Fungi; Ascomycota; Dothideomycetes; Venturiales; Venturiaceae
Description: sequence contains 5.8S rRNA gene
Source: RNAcentral